UGUCAUGGAAACUUUAUUCAAAAUAUUUUUUCUGCUGAAACUAGUGACCAAUUUCAACUUUCAUUAGUUUUCUUUUGUCCCGGCUUAGUUCCAGGCAACCAACCAACAUAACCGACUUGACCAAAAAAAAAAGGUUUUAAUGUUAGAUACCUUGUCGUCGAUAAAUCGAGAUGGAAUGAUUUUGUUGGGACAAAAAUGGUCAGAAUAUCAAAUCCAUAUUUCAUCUCAAAAUUAU
RNAcentral lists this long non-coding RNA (235 nucleotides) under Mytilus galloprovincialis (Mediterranean mussel). The record is from RNAcentral. Lineage: Eukaryota; Metazoa; Mollusca; Bivalvia; Mytilida; Mytilidae.